GGAAAGGAAAGGGAAAAAGAAGCUAGAUAAAACGCAGCAUGAAGGAUGCUUCUGAGCCGUGAUCACCAUCCACAGUCACUUAUUCCUAGGGUGACCAGAAAGUUGGCCUUCCAAACUGGAAUACAUCUGAAAGUAGAGCACACAUAGAUGGGAGAAGAAGCAAGAUUGAAAGCGGAAUGGAUUAGCCAACUGAUGAAGGGAGGUAAAAGCGCCCCAGAGGCAGCUCUCUUCUCUGAAGCCUCACUGGAAUUGCUCAGGUUUGGCCUCGGAGGAAGUCCACAUAAGUGAACUAGGUCUACCCUCUUCCCCUCCUUGGUUAUGAUGCUGGAGGAGGCACAAAGUAAUCUGUAAGUACAUGCAAGAGAGAAAAAAUGAAUAACCAUUCAGCAACUAGGAUCUGCAGCACUGCCUGCCACAGAGCAUCUUAGGUGACUGUAUCCUUUGCCAUGCUUUGGAUGCUAAGAGCAGAAAGUUUUACCAACAGCUUAAAUGAGUCUGAGGUGAUGAAAAGAAUAAUGAGGCUGCAUGUCCAGAGGCCAUGUGUGUGGUGCCUCACAAUUGCAACACAGACGCCUCAGCCCAGGCAUUCCAGUCAAGAGGGAGGGCACAGGUCAUGCCAGCAUGUCCUUGUCUCCCACCUGGACUUUUUGGGAGAAAGCAGAUUUCUGAGAAACAGCUCUCACCUAUUUCUUGGUCUCAUUGGUGAGAACUCAGAUGCAUGGCCUUGCUGGCUGCAAGGUAGGCCAGGAAAACAAAUAUCUGUUUCCUGUUUGUUUUCCUCAGUUUCUCUGUGGAACCAUAAAGAGCUUUUGAUUUAUGUGGCUUAUAUCUCUCAGUAUUUACCAUGUGCGGUGUGCUUAAUCACUUCAGUCAUGUCUAACUCUUUGUGACCCCACAGACUGUAA
Molecule: long non-coding RNA, 905 nt
Organism: Capra hircus (goat)
Lineage: Eukaryota; Metazoa; Chordata; Mammalia; Artiodactyla; Bovidae
Exons: 3
Source: RefSeq, a predicted model, not a curated record